AUCCUGAACCUCUCGUCCCAGCCAAACGUAGGUGGCGGAUGGCUUUCACAGUCAUUUAUUUUUCAAGGUUGCUUCUUUCCUUGUCCAAGAAAGUUUUGUACGAACAAACCAAGCUCUUGCGUUCACUUUCCUAUGUUGCCAUCCAAGUCGAUGAUGAUAACCCCAGUAGGGACCAUGCGUCUUUGGUCAAUAUUGAUCAGAAUACACUCUCUCGGAUGCUAAAAGAGAAGAACCACCACUCCUUGAACCAACUAGGAGGACUUAUGCAGGUUGCUGCAAUUCUUCAGAGCGAUGUGAAGAAAGGUG
RNAcentral lists this unclassified non-coding RNA (306 nucleotides) under Hevea brasiliensis (rubber tree). Lineage: Eukaryota; Viridiplantae; Streptophyta; Magnoliopsida; Malpighiales; Euphorbiaceae. The record is from RNAcentral.